This 223-nucleotide unclassified non-coding RNA is filed under the name plant metagenome. Its description in RNAcentral is "partial contains small subunit ribosomal RNA, internal transcribed spacer 1, and 5.8S ribosomal RNA". The record is from RNAcentral.
UCUCCGUUGGUGAACCAGCGGAGGGAUCAUUACCGAGUUAUCAACUCUCCAACCCCUGUGAACAUACCCAACGUUGCUUCGGCUUGAUCGCCCCGGCGCCCUCGCCGUCCCCGAACCAGGCGCCCGCCGGAGGACCCAAACUCUUGUUUAAACCAUAGUGGCAUAUUCUGAGUCUCACAAGUAAAAUGAAUCAAAACUUUCAACAACGGAUCUCUUGGCUCUG